GACGAACGCUGGCGGCGUGCUUAACACAUGCAAGUCGAACGGUGAAGCGCCUUCCUUUUUGGUGGGUGUGGAUGAGUGGCGAACGGGUGAGUAACACGUGAGUAACCUGCCCCCUUCUUCUGGAUAACCGCAUGAAAGUGUGGCUAAUACGGGAUAUUCUGGGUCUGUCGCAUGAUGGGUCUGGGAAAGAUAUUGUUUCGGUGGGGGAUGGGCUCGCGGCCUAUCAGCUUGUUGGUGGGGUGAUGGCCUACCAAGGCGGUGACGGGUAGCCGGCCUGAGAGGGUGGACGGUCACACUGGGACUGAGACACGGCCCAGACUCCUACGGGAGGCAGCAGUGGGGAAUAUUGCACAAUGGGCGCAAGCCUAAUGCAGCGACGCCGCGUGAGGGAUGGAGGCCUUCGGGUUGUGAACCUCUUUCGCCAGUGAAGCAGGCCUGCCUCGUUUGUGGGUGGGUUGACGGUAGCUGGAUAAGAAGCGCCGGCUAACUACGUG
This 494-nucleotide ribosomal RNA is filed under the name uncultured bacterium. RNAcentral's name for it is "partial 16S ribosomal RNA". It matches the Rfam family "Bacterial small subunit ribosomal RNA", at positions 28 to 507 of the family's 1533-position model. The record is from RNAcentral.